AUGGGAUUUUCAAGGCAAGAGUACUGGAGUGGGGUGCCAUCACCUUCUCCGUCACGAACAAUUUCAUGGACUCCGACAAGAAAGCGAUGGAGCUCUAAGAAACAAAUUACAGCCACUCUCAGUUCAGCACAGCAUCGGCAGACAUUGGUGUUUACUCAUCACAGGAGCAUCUACUAACAGUCAGUGGGAGACAUGGAGUUACCAUGUUAGAGAUAAUUUCUCCAGUUCGCAGAGAGUGAGAAUGGUGUCCUCAAGAUCUCACCCUGGAGGGCCGGCUCCCUGUGCAGCCCCUCCCAGCUGGCAGGGGUUGGCAGAAAGGGUAAACCUUCUUGGAUGGCCUUCAGACUGGAGCACAGUAAACACCAGAAGGUGAAUAUUUCCCAAAUCCUGUUGACAAAAAUUCCUCCUCAUGGAUCCAGUCACAGAUGGAAGGGAAUGUCCAGGGGCCCGUUAAGUAAGCUAUCUAGUUUGAAGGAAUUGCCGAAAGCAGCAAAAUUGCUGAAGACAAGUGGCUCUGAGCAGGCUCAGAAACCAGUGCCCCCUCCCAGAGAAGCAAGGACCCCUGGACAACACCCCAGACGAAAAGUCGAACUCAGAAGAAAGGAGACUGGAGUGAAGAGGGAUAGUCUACGAGAAAGAAAAAGCCACGUGUGCCAAGAGGUCAGCGAGCCCCAGGAAGAUGACUGCCUCUGUGAGUGACCCUGCUGGCCCACUCACGGAGAAGGGGUUAUGAGGCCUCGGUCCAGUAACCUCAC
Cervus elaphus (red deer) is the source of this 755-nucleotide long non-coding RNA. RefSeq lists it as uncharacterized. NCBI's taxonomy places the organism in Eukaryota, Metazoa, Chordata, Mammalia, Artiodactyla, Cervidae. The record is from RefSeq and is a predicted model, not a curated record. The transcript has 4 exons.